AUGAACGCUGGCGGCGUGCCUAAUACAUGCAAGUCGAGCGAACAGACGAGGAGCUUGCUCCUCUGACGUUAGCGGCGGACGGGUGAGUAACACGUGGAUAACCUACCUAUAAGACUGGGAUAACUUCGGGAAACCGGAGCUAAUACCGGAUAAUAUAUUGAACCGCAUGGUUCAAUAGUGAAAGACGGUUUAGCUGUCACUUAUAGAUGGAUCCGCGCCGCAUUAGCUAGUUGGUAAGGUAACGGCUUACCAAGGCAACGAUGCGUAGCCGACCUGAGGGGGUGAUCGGCCACACUGGAACUGAGACACGGUCCAGACUCCUACGGGAGGCAGCAGUAGGGAAUCUUCCGCAAUGGGCGAAAGCCUGACGGAGCAACGCCGCGUGAGUGAUGAAGGUCUUCGGAUCGUAAAACUCUGUUAUUAGGGAAGAACAAAUGUGUAAGUAACUAUGCACGUCUUGACGGUACCUAAUCAGAAAGCCACGGCUAACUACGUG
This 496-nucleotide ribosomal RNA is filed under the name uncultured bacterium. RNAcentral's name for it is "partial 16S ribosomal RNA". It matches the Rfam family "Bacterial small subunit ribosomal RNA", at positions 29 to 507 of the family's 1533-position model. The record is from RNAcentral.